UUACGGCCACAUCACAUUGAAACAUCAGUUCCUAUAAAAAUCACCAAAAUUAAGCAAUAUUGAGCCUGGUCAGUACCUAGAUGGGUGACUGCUUGGGAAUACCAGGUGCUGUAA
Molecule: non-coding RNA, 114 nt
Organism: Acanthosepion pharaonis
Lineage: Eukaryota; Metazoa; Mollusca; Cephalopoda; Sepiida; Sepiidae
Source: the annotation of a GenBank genome assembly